AGAUUGAACGCUGGCGGCAGGCCUAACACAUGCAAGUCGAGCGGCAGCACGGGUACUUGUACCUGGUGGCGAGCGGCGGACGGGUGAGUAAUGCCUAGGAAUCUGCCUGGUAGUGGGGGAUAACGCUCGGAAACGGACGCUAAUACCGCAUACGUCCUACGGGAGAAAGCAGGGGACCUUCGGGCCUUGCGCUAUCAGAUGAGCCUAGGUCGGAUUAGCUAGUUGGUGAGGUAAUGGCUCACCAAGGCGACGAUCCGUAACUGGUCUGAGAGGAUGAUCAGUCACACUGGAACUGAGACACGGUCCAGACUCCUACGGGAGGCAGCAGUGGGGAAUAUUGGACAAUGGGCGAAAGCCUGAUCCAGCCAUGCCGCGUGUGUGAAGAAGGUCUUCGGAUUGUAAAGCACUUUAAGUUGGAGAAGGCAGUUACCUAAUACGUAUCGGUUUGACGUUACGACAGAAUAAGCACCGCUAACUCUGUG
This 482-nucleotide ribosomal RNA is filed under the name uncultured soil bacterium. RNAcentral's name for it is "bacterial SSU rRNA". It matches the Rfam family "Bacterial small subunit ribosomal RNA", at positions 26 to 507 of the family's 1533-position model. The record is from RNAcentral.